CAAAAAAUCUAGCCCUAAUAAACUUAUGAAAACAACUUUUUACCACUUAAAUUAAAUCAUUCUAAAAACCUAGUAAAGGAGAUUAAAAAGUUAAAAGGAGCUAUAAAAUUAGUACCGCAAGGGAAAGAUGAAAUAUAAAUGAAAAACUUAAGCACAAAAUAGUAGAGAUUUAAUCUUGUACCUUUUGCAUCAUGGUUUAACUAGUUUAACCAGGCAAAAAGAAUUUAAGUCUGACCUCCCGAAACUAAGUGAGCUACUUCAGGGCAGCUUAAUGAGCCAACCCGUCUCUGUUGCAAAAGAGUGGGAAGACCCUCAAGUAGGGGUGAUAGACCUACCGAACUUAGUGAUAGCUGGUUAUUCAAGAAAAGAACAUUAGUUCAACUUAAAACUUAUAUAAUAUAACAAAAUUACAUUUAAAUUUUUAAGCAAUUCAAAUAAGGUACAGCCUAUUUGAAACAGGAUACAACCUCUACUAAUGGGUAAUUUUUAUAUUCUCGUAAUUAAGUGGGCCUAAUAGCAGCCAACUUUUAAAAAGCGUCAAAGCUUUUUUACAUAACAAUCUAAUACCUUAAUAAACAUAAAACCCUUUACCUAUAUUGAAUACUUCUAUACUAUUAUAGAAUAUUUUAUGUUAAAACUAGUAACAAGAAGAAGAACUUCUCUUAAAUGUACUUGUAAAUCAGCUAGGACUAACCACUGAUAAUUAUCGUAUUUGAUAUUAUAGUAUUUACACUACAAGAAAAACCUACUCCACACCACGUUAAACUUACACAAGAACAUUAAAAGAAAGAUUAAAAGAAAAGGAAGGAACUCGGCAAAUAUUAACCUCGCCUGUUUACCAAAAACAUCGCCUCUUGGUUUAAUCAUAAGAGGUCCAGCCUGCCCAGUGACUUAGUUCAACGGCCGCGGUAUCCUAACCGUGCGAAGGUAGCGUAAUCACUUGUUCUUUAAAUGAGGACUAGUAUGAAUGGCAUUACGAGGGUUAUACUGUCUCCCUUUUUUAAUCAGUGAAACUAAUCUUCCCGUGAAGAAGCGGGAAUAAAUCUAUAAGACGAGAAGACCCUAUGGAGCUUUAAACUAUAAAACACUUGUUCCUUAAUAAUUUUCUUCCAGAAAUAUAAGCAAAACCCUAACACUAUGUUUACUAGUUUUCGGUUGGGGUGACCGCGGAGCAUAAAAUAACCUCCACGAUGAAAGAGAUUAAAUUUCUUAGCCCAGAACUACAUUUCAAAGCACCAAAAUUUUGACAUUUAUUGAUCCAAUCUAUUGAUCAACGAACCAAGUUACCCUAGGGAUAACAGCGCAAUCUACUUCAAGAGCCCCUAUCGACAAGUGGGUUUACGACCUCGAUGUUGGAUCAGGGUAUCCUAGUGGUGCA
This 1378-nucleotide ribosomal RNA is filed under the name Physalaemus henselii (Hensel's dwarf frog). RNAcentral's name for it is "partial 16S ribosomal RNA". It matches the Rfam family "Bacterial large subunit ribosomal RNA", at positions 395 to 2557 of the family's 2925-position model. The record is from RNAcentral. Lineage: Eukaryota; Metazoa; Chordata; Amphibia; Anura; Leptodactylidae.